Terrapene triunguis (Three-toed box turtle) is the source of this 489-nucleotide non-coding RNA. The record is from the annotation of a RefSeq genome assembly. Lineage: Eukaryota; Metazoa; Chordata; Testudines; Emydidae.
AUGGGAUUUUUGCUCCUUGUAAUUUUGGCUGUAGCAGCUUUGGAAGGUGUCCGGUGCCAGGUGCAGCUGGUGGAGUCCGGAGGGGAUGUGAAAAAACCCGGAGACUCUCUCCGCCUCUCCUGCAAAGCCUCCGGGUUCACCUUCCGCAGCGCCUACAUGAGCUGGGUCCGACAGCCUCCUGGGAAGGGACUAGAAUGGGUGGCUGCUAUAUACCCUGGUGGGAGUAGUACAUACUACCUUGAUUCAGUGAAAGGCAGAUUCACCAUCUCCAGGGAUGAUUCCAAGAGUGAGCUGUAUCUGCAAAUGACCGGCCUGAAGCCCGAGGACACCGCCCGCUAUUACUGUGCGAGAGACACAGUGAAACAAAACCAGUUUGUGCUCAUACAAAAACCCAGGCUGCGCAAUCGCCCUUCUCCCGGCAGCCGGGCGGGGGCAGCAGUGACACACACACUGCUCCGGGCUCGGACAGGAGACCCUGCAACUGCGUGA